AUUGAACGCUGGCGGCAGGCCUAACACAUGCAAGUCGAACGGAGGAAGGGAGCUUGCUUCCGGAUGCAGCGGCGGACUGGUGAGUGAGUCCUAGAAAUCUGCCUGGCGGUUGGGUAUAACGUCCGGAAACGGGCGCUAAUACCGCAUAACUGCUGAGGAUGAAGGUGAGGGAUCUUGGGACCUCAGGCUAUCAGAUGAGCCUAGGUCGGGUUGGCUAGUUGGUGGGGUAAAGGCCUACCAACGCGACGAUCCGUAACUGGUCUGAAGGGAUGAUCGGUCACCCUGGAAGUGAGAACCGGUCCCGACUCCGACGGGAGGCCGCAGUGGGGAAUAUUGGACGAGGGGGGAGAGCCUGAUCCAGCCCAGCCGGGGGUGUGAAGAAGGUCCUCCGAUUGUAAAGCACUUUAAGUUGGGAGGAAGGAAAGUAAGUUAAGAACUUGCUGUUUUGACGUUACCAAAAGAAUAAGCACCGGCUAACUUCGUG
RNAcentral lists this ribosomal RNA (484 nucleotides) under uncultured bacterium. RNAcentral describes it as "partial 16S ribosomal RNA". It matches the Rfam family "Bacterial small subunit ribosomal RNA", at positions 30 to 507 of the family's 1533-position model. The record is from RNAcentral.